GAUGAACGCUGGCGGCGUGCCUAAUACAUGCAAGUCGAGCGAACGGACGAGAAGCUUGCUUCUCUGAUGUUAGCGGCGGACGGGUGAGUAACACGUGGAUAACCUACCUAUAAGACUGGGAUAACUUCGGGAAACCGUAGCUAAUACCGGAUAAUAUUUCGAACCGCAUGGUUCAAAAGUGAAAGACGGUCUUGCUGUCACUUAUAGAUGGAUCCGCGCUGCAUUAGCUAGUUGGUAAGGUAACGGCUUACCAAGGCAACGAUGCAUAGCCGACCUGAGAGGGUGAUCGGCCACACUGGAACUGAGACACGGUCCAGACUCCUACGGGAGGCAGCAGUAGGGAAUCUUCCGCAAUGGGCGAAAGCCUGACGGAGCAACGCCGCGUGAGUGAUGAAGGUCUUCGGAUCGUAAAACUCUGUUAUUAGGGAAGAACAUAUGUGUAAGUAACUGUGCACAUCUUGACGGUACCUAAUCAGAAGGCCACGGCUAACUACGUG
Molecule: ribosomal RNA, 497 nt
Filed under: uncultured bacterium
Lineage: Bacteria
Description: partial 16S ribosomal RNA
Rfam family: Bacterial small subunit ribosomal RNA
Source: RNAcentral